GGUUCAAAUCAGUUUCAGUUCUGAUUAGAUUUAAGAAUUUGGCAUAAAACUUUGAAUAUUUUUAAAGAAAUUUCUAUCAAAAUGGUUCUCCCAAAAAAGGCCUUUCCAACUUUUUAUGCGGCCAACGUCCAAUUAAUACAUAGUAGAGGAGAGUAGAGGAGUACAAAACGAAUCGAAUCGACCAGAUAUACAUCUUCUUGGAUAUAACAUACACUAGACGACGACGCACAAUCGAAAGAGUCAACUAUGUACGAGGCGGGUAAAUGGAGAGAUCUCUCAGGCAAUAAAUACAUAAAAGUCAAAGAUGUGUGCACAAAAGAGGGAACAGAGGCGUAACCAGAGAGGGGCAGCCACAUCCACUCCGCUGGAUGCUGCACAUCG
This 381-nucleotide small RNA is filed under the name Drosophila pseudoobscura pseudoobscura. Its description in RNAcentral is "GA32905". Lineage: Eukaryota; Metazoa; Arthropoda; Insecta; Diptera; Drosophilidae. The record is from RNAcentral.